This 85-nucleotide non-coding RNA is filed under the name uncultured Proteus sp. The record is from RNAcentral. Lineage: Bacteria; Pseudomonadati; Pseudomonadota; Gammaproteobacteria; Enterobacterales; Morganellaceae.
UCAAUGGUGGCGUUGGUGAGGCAGCUUUCGGGCUGGCUGGAUUCCAGUAACUCCAGUAGUGCAAACCUUGCCAACGUCAUCACCC